AACGAACGCUGGCGGCAGGCCUAACACAUGCAAGUCGAGCGAGACCUUCGGGUCUAGCGGCGGACGGGUUAGUAACGCGUGGGAACGUGCCCUUCUCUGCGGAAUAGCCACUGGAAACGGUGAGUAAUACCGCAUACGCCCUUCGGGGGAAAGAUUUAUCGGAGAAGGAUCGGCCCGCGUUAGAUUAGAUAGUUGGUGGGUAACGGCCUACCAAGUCUACGAUCUAUAGCUGGUUUUAGAGGAUGAUCAGCAACACUGGGACUGAGACACGGCCCAGACUCCUACGGGAGGCAACAGUGGGGAAUCUUAGACAAUGGGCGCAAGCCUGAUCUAGCCAUGCCGCGUGUGUGAUGAAGGUCUUAGGAUCGUAAAGCACUUUCGCCAGGGAUGAUAAUGACAGUACCUGGUAAAGAAACCCCGGCUAACUCCGUG
This 432-nucleotide ribosomal RNA is filed under the name uncultured bacterium. RNAcentral's name for it is "bacterial SSU rRNA". It matches the Rfam family "Bacterial small subunit ribosomal RNA", at positions 29 to 507 of the family's 1533-position model. The record is from RNAcentral.